RNAcentral lists this ribosomal RNA (336 nucleotides) under Triticum aestivum (bread wheat). RNAcentral's name for it is "partial small subunit ribosomal RNA". Lineage: Eukaryota; Viridiplantae; Streptophyta; Magnoliopsida; Poales; Poaceae. The record is from RNAcentral.
AUGGCGGAAGCCCUUGCUCUCAAGUUUGGUUUAACAUUGGCGCAAAGGGCGGGGUGUAAUCGCCUUAUUAUUAACUCAAAUAACCUGGAGGUAGUUUAUACUAUGCAGGAUGAAGGACAAUCAACGGGUGCGGUAGCAGCAAUCUUCCAUGAUUGUUUUCAUUACGCUUGUGAUUUUAGUACUAGAUUCGAACAUUGUAAUAGAGAAGCAGAUAAAGUAGCUCAUGAGCUUGCUAAAUUUGCUAGAUUUUCUUUGAUUUCUGCCUAGUUUCAGGAACCGGUAGAUGAGAUUGUAAUGAUCCCCAUGAACGAUGUACUUCUUAUGUCUAAUGAAUAA